GCUUAACACAUGCAAGUCGAGGGGCAGCAUGGUCUUAGCUUGCUAAGGCCGAUGGCGACCGGCGCACGGGUGAGUAACACGUAUCCAACCUGCCGUCUACUCUUGGACAGCCUUCUGAAAGGAAGAUUAAUACAAGAUGGCAUCAUGAGUCCGCAUGUUCACAUGAUUAAAGGUAUUCCGGUAGACGAUGGGGAUGCGUUCCAUUAGAUAGUAGGCGGGGUAACGGCCCACCUAGUCUUCGAUGGAUAGGGGUUCUGAGAGGAAGGUCCCCCACAUUGGAACUGAGACACGGUCCAAACUCCUACGGGAGGCAGCAGUGAGGAAUAUUGGUCAAUGGGCGAGAGCCUGAACCAGCCAAGUAGCGUGAGGGAUGACUGCCCUAUGGGUUGUAAACUUCUUUUAUAAAGGAAUAAAGUCGGGUAUGGAUACCCGUUUGCAUGUACUUUAUGAAUAAGGAUCGGCUAACUCCGUGCCAGCAGCCGCGGCAAUACGGAGGAUCCGAGCGUUAUCCGGAUUUAUUGGGUUUAAAGGGAGCGUAGAUGGAUGUUUAAGUCAGUUGUGAAAGUUUGCGGCUCAACCGUAAAAUUGCAGUUGAUACUGGAUAUCUUGAGUGCAGUUGAGGCAGGCGGAAUUCGUGGUGUAGCGGUGAAAUGCUUAGAUAUCACGAAGAACUCCGAUUGCGAAGGCAGCCUGCUAAGCUGCAACUGACAUUGAGGCUCGAAAGUGUGGGUAUCAAACAGGAUUAGAUACCCUGGUAGUCCACACGGUAAACGAUGAAUACUCGCUGUUUGCGAUAUACUGCAAGCGGCCAAGCGAAAGCGUUAAGUAUUCCACCUGGGGAGUACGCCGGCAACGGUGAAACUCAAAGGAAUUGACGGGGGCCCGCACAAGCGGAGGAACAUGUGGUUUAAUUCGAUGAUACGCGAGGAACCUUACCCGGGCUUAAAUUGCAGAUGAAUUACGGUGAAAGCCGUAAGCCGCAAGGCAUCUGUGAAGGUGCUGCAUGGUUGUCGUCAGCUCGUGCCGUGAGGUGUCGGCUUAAGUGCCAUAACGAGCGCAACCCUUGUUGUCAGUUACUAACAGGUUCCGCUGAGGACUCUGACAAGACUGCCAUCGUAAGAUGUGAGGAAGGUGGGGAUGACGUCAAAUCAGCACGGCCCUUACGUCCGGGGCUACACACGUGUUACAAUGGGGGGUACAGAGGGCCGCUACCACGCGAGUGGAUGCCAAUCCCCAAAACCUCUCUCAGUUCGGACUGGAGUCUGCAACCCGACUCCACGAAGCUGGAUUCGCUAGUAAUCGCGCAUCAGCCACGGCGCGGUGAAUACGUUCCCGGGCCUUGUACACACCGCCCGUCAAGCCAUGGGAGCCGGGGGUACCUGAAGUGCGUAACCGCGAGGAGCGCCCUAGGGUAAAACUGGUGACUGGGGCUAAGUCGU
RNAcentral lists this ribosomal RNA (1439 nucleotides) under uncultured organism. RNAcentral's name for it is "SSU rRNA". It matches the Rfam family "Bacterial small subunit ribosomal RNA". The record is from RNAcentral.